UUGUUCACCUGACACUGAAAUACUAAAAUUGGAAGGAUAUAGAAAAGAUUAGUAUGCUCCCUGCACAAGGAUGACAUGUAACUUUGUGAAGGGCUACAUAUUUCU
Molecule: small nuclear RNA, 105 nt
Organism: Bison bison bison
Lineage: Eukaryota; Metazoa; Chordata; Mammalia; Artiodactyla; Bovidae
Source: Ensembl